GCUGGAAGCCUCCUGAAGAGCGCUCGCCAGCUAGUUGCUACAUAAAAAUUACAAGUCCGAAGCGCACAUCUCUCCUUAAUAAUAAGCAAAUAGGGUUUCUGAUAGUCCGUCGUGACAGUUGUGCAUAAAAGUCCCUGAGGUUUUAGAUGUUCAACCCACAGUCCCUGUUAAGUGGCACUCCACGUUUCGUUUUUACGUAAAAACCAUUGCAAUUCUUCGAAAUUAUGCCGCAAACCCUUAUCCCCAGCCCCGGCCCUGCCUCGGACACCCACGCGCCCCGCCACCGCGAGCGCCGCCCGAACCGCAACAACGGCCCCGCCCCGCCCCCGCAAGUGAGGGCCGCCCCGUACGGGCCCGCUAACGCUUCCGCGCCGCGGCGGCAAGAGAGGUUCGGCUAACCCGUCCG
Molecule: long non-coding RNA, 406 nt
Filed under: Hordeum vulgare
Lineage: Eukaryota; Viridiplantae; Streptophyta; Magnoliopsida; Poales; Poaceae
Description: long non-coding RNA (HVUL_LNC000467)
Source: RNAcentral